This 490-nucleotide ribosomal RNA is filed under the name uncultured bacterium. RNAcentral describes it as "partial 16S ribosomal RNA". It matches the Rfam family "Bacterial small subunit ribosomal RNA", at positions 30 to 507 of the family's 1533-position model. The record is from RNAcentral.
AUUGAACGCUGGCGGCAGGCUUAACACAUGCAAGUCGAGCGGUAGCACAAGAGAGCUUGCUCUCUGGGUGACGAGCGGCGGACGGGUGAGUAAUGUCUGGGAAACUGCCUGAUGGAGGGGGAUAACUACUGGAAACGGUAGCUAAUACCGCAUAACGUCGCAAGACCAAAGAGGGGGACCUUCGGGCCUCUUGCCAUCAGAUGUGCCCAGAUGGGAUUAGCUAGUAGGUGGGGUAAUGGCUCACCUAGGCGACGAUCCCUAGCUGGUCUGAGAGGAUGACCAGCCACACUGGAACUGAGACACGAUCCAGACUCCUACGGGAGGCAGCAGUGGGGAAUAUUGCACAAUGGGCGCAAGCCUGAUGCAGCCAUGCCGCGUGUGUGAAGAAGGCCUUCGGGUUGUAAAGCACUUUCAGCGAGGAGGAAGGUGGUGAACUUAAUACGUUCAUCAAUUGACGUUACUCGCAGAAGAAGCACCGGCUAACUCCGUG